RNAcentral lists this non-coding RNA (21 nucleotides) under Arabidopsis thaliana (thale cress). Lineage: Eukaryota; Viridiplantae; Streptophyta; Magnoliopsida; Brassicales; Brassicaceae. The record is from RNAcentral.
GGAGAAGGAAGGGUCGCCGGC